CAGAUGUCCAACGCGCAGCAGGCCCCGGCGUCGUGCACUGUCAUUGUUGGUAUUGUCUUGCUUUGAUAGCUGCCACGCGUCUAGUAUCAGAUGAACAAUGCCAGAUGACAACUAGAGCACAGGAGAGCUCUGCUGGAAUGCUGCUAAGCUGCAGAUGUACCAGCCAAAUUACUCCAGAGGGGAAUUACCAGACCAUAAAUCCAGACGUCAGGAGGAUGGCUGUAGCUUAUUUCACGAGAAUAUUACUUCCUUCGCAGACAGAUGUCCUCACAGAGAUCCUUCUCACCGUGAAAAUAUGCAAUUUGUUUGCAUUUGGAGAAGAUUUACUGACAAACGUGGAAACACCUGCCCGGCCUGGAGUGUGGCCAGUGAAGUGCCGUGCUGUUGGAAGUCCCAGCGGAACGCUGAAAUUCCCCUCAGUGGUAACGAAGGAGAGGGGACGCGAGGCUCCGGCUAAAACAUCACCAACGCUGACCUGUUGUACCUAAAAUCAAAGCGUGCGUUAUCAGAUGGAUGUGUUCUCGCUCAACCUGCGCCGUGACAUUUCCGAGGAACCUCGGCCCAACUUCGCCGCGCGCUGGAGUGAGUCGUGUUCAGAGGGUAUCGAUGCGGCUGAUAAGAGCUCCGGUUGCUUUUCGAUAUCAUCUGAAUUCCUGAACUCCUGUGAUCGCGGGCCGUGUCCCUCAGUUCAUACAUGAUAUACUGCGCACCACCAACACAACACACUGUACAUUUUCCUUUAAGACUGGGUGUAAUGCUGUAAUCCACAGCUUAAGAGCCCUCGUUUAUUUGCUGGACCCCUCCCGUCUUUCCUUGCUCAAUACUUGCAGUGCUGUUUUUUUUACUGCAGGUUAGGAAGAGAAACCAUCUUAUCUGUGACUGGGGGGAUUUAUUAGUGAAAAAAAGAUAAUUGCUAUUCAUAGGCCACUGGGGGCUGAUUUACAACCACUAAUAUUUAGGAUUCCUAGAGCUGUUUUUCAGUGUUUUAUCUGUAGACCUGCCUGCAGCACAGGGGGGAGAGAGGUCAUGUUAGAGGAUGAGGGAUGGGCCGGGCAAAGCCUCCACUCAAAGCGAUUCCACUGAAGACUAAUGUGUGAGGAAGUGGUCUGAGUGCAAGAAGAGGCCUCGCGCAUGUAGGUCUGCCACGAGGUGACAAACACCUGCUCUGCUCAGCCUGUAAUGAGUCUGCAGCGCAGAUCAGUCCCGUCCGUUUUAUCUCUGAGGGAAAUCCUAAGAAAACAAAAAAUGGUCAUAAAAGGGGAAAUCUGCAGACAAGCGCCGCUUUAAAAGCUUUUCUAUUAUGUUUAAAGUAUCUGAAGCAGCCACUCUUCCAUUCUGGCGUGUGACGCUGCUAUGGGAGUGUGCGGAGAAAACAGGACUCGUCCUCAUAAAGGACGACCCUGGUUCUGUCGGUACCUACAACACAGGUAGCUUUUUGUUCUGAGGUUUGGGAACGCUUGGUUGCAGGCGAAACAGGAAAUGAAGAGUUUUGGGCCUGUCUGUCCGUGCUGAUCCUCCGGCUGACCGGGAGGCAGCGGGGGCUCGGAGUGAGAGCGCUCAGAUGUGAGGUCACGGGUUCAAAGCCCAGGUGUUGUGCCUCGCAGCAGGACCCUUCCCAGUCUAAACAGUGUAAAUGAUUUUAGAGAAUGUAGAGGUUAACCUGGGAUCACAGAGAGCCACUUGUACUGUAUCUGCCAGGUAUCAGAUUGUAAACAGGCUAAUCUGCUUCAGCCUGGUGGGUGGGUGAUUGUUUGCUAGGUAAUAAUGUGCAUCAGUUUGAUAUACAGUAGAGCAGAAAUUCUGGCAACUCUCAUCCCUGUUUCACUGAGUUUUGGUGGGAAGAAAUAUAUAAUUUAUAUCAGUUCAGAUAGGAGUUAAGCAAUUAUCAAAUUUAAUUUUCAAUUUGUUGUUCCAAAUGAAAAGAGCCUAUCAGUGGAUGUAAACUGUGAUAUUGCGGCAGAAGUAAUAAAACACACACUGGUGGAGAAUCCCGG
Molecule: long non-coding RNA, 1994 nt
Organism: Betta splendens (Siamese fighting fish)
Lineage: Eukaryota; Metazoa; Chordata; Actinopteri; Anabantiformes; Osphronemidae
Source: Ensembl